Non-coding RNA from Macaca mulatta (Rhesus monkey), 69 nucleotides. The record is from Rfam. Lineage: Eukaryota; Metazoa; Chordata; Mammalia; Primates; Cercopithecidae.
GAGAAAGCCAUAACUGUUAUGGGACUGGCUUGAAACCAGUAAUAGGGGAUUCGAUCCCUUUCUUUUUUA